Molecule: small RNA, 489 nt
Filed under: Pan troglodytes (chimpanzee)
Lineage: Eukaryota; Metazoa; Chordata; Mammalia; Primates; Hominidae
Description: processed transcript
Source: RNAcentral
GUGGUGGAGGCCGGCUCGGACAUGGUCUUCCGGUGGACCAUCAACGACAAGCAGUCCCUGACCUUCCAGAACGUGGUCUUCAAUGUCAUUUAUCAGAGCGCGGCGGUCUUCAAGCUCUCACUGACGGCCUCCAACCACGUGAGCAACGUCACCGUGAACUACAACGUCACCGUGGAGCGGAUGAACAGGAUGCAGGGCCUGCGGGUCUCCACAGUGCCGGCCGUGCUGUCCCCCAAUGCCACGCUGGCACUGACGGCGGGCGUGCUGGUGGACUCGGCCGUGGAGGUGGCCUUCCUGUGGACCUUUGGGGAUGGGGAGCAGGCUCUCCACCAGUUCCAGCCUCCGUACAACGAGUCCUUCCCGGUUCCAGACCCUCGGUGGCCCAGGUGCUGGUGGAGCACAAUGUCACGCACACCUACGCUGCCCCAGCUUCCCCCGCGUCGGAGACCACGUGGUGAGCGUGCAGGGCAAAAACCACGUGAGCUGGGC